Molecule: Y RNA, 109 nt
Filed under: Microcebus murinus (gray mouse lemur)
Lineage: Eukaryota; Metazoa; Chordata; Mammalia; Primates; Cheirogaleidae
Description: Y RNA (ENSMICG00000044857.1)
Rfam family: Y RNA
About the family: Y RNAs are components of the Ro ribonucleoprotein particle (Ro RNP), in association with Ro60 and La proteins. The Y RNAs and Ro60 and La proteins are well conserved, but the function of the Ro RNP is not known. In humans the RNA component can be one of four small RNAs -- hY1, hY3, hY4 and hY5.
Source: Rfam by way of RNAcentral
GGCUGGUCUGAAGGUAGUGAGUUACCUCAACUGAGCACAGUCAGUUACAAAUGGAACUCCUUGUUCUACUCUUUCUCCCUUUCUCACUACUGCACUCAACUAGUUUUUA